This 106-nucleotide small nuclear RNA is filed under the name Ursus maritimus (polar bear). Lineage: Eukaryota; Metazoa; Chordata; Mammalia; Carnivora; Ursidae. The record is from RNAcentral.
GUGUUCACUUAGGCAGCACAUAUACUAAAAUUGGAACGGUACAGAGAAGUUAGCAUGGUCCCUGCGCAAGGAUGACAUGCAAAUCCGUGAAGCAUUUCACAUUAGA